This is an unclassified non-coding RNA of Cavia aperea (Brazilian guinea pig), 112 nucleotides long. It matches the Rfam family "Y RNA". From Rfam's summary of the family: Y RNAs are components of the Ro ribonucleoprotein particle (Ro RNP), in association with Ro60 and La proteins. The Y RNAs and Ro60 and La proteins are well conserved, but the function of the Ro RNP is not known. In humans the RNA component can be one of four small RNAs -- hY1, hY3, hY4 and hY5. Lineage: Eukaryota; Metazoa; Chordata; Mammalia; Rodentia; Caviidae. The record is from Ensembl.
GGCUGGUCCGAAGGUAGUGAGUUAUCUCAAUUGAUUGUUCACAGUCAAUACAGAUUGAACUCCUUGUUCUACUCUUUCCCCCCUUCUCACUACUGCACUUGACUAGUCUUAA